This 77-nucleotide transfer RNA is filed under the name Bacteroidota bacterium. RNAcentral describes it as "Bacteroidetes bacterium tRNA-Arg". It matches the Rfam family "tRNA". From Rfam's summary of the family: Transfer RNA (tRNA) molecules are approximately 80 nucleotides in length. Their secondary structure includes four short double-helical elements and three loops (D, anti-codon, and T loops). Lineage: Bacteria; Pseudomonadati; Bacteroidota. The record is from RNAcentral.
GCCUUCGUAGCUCAACAGGAUAGAGCAGCGGACUUCUAAUCCGCAGGUUGCAGGUUCGAGUCCUGCCGGAGGCGCCA